RNAcentral lists this ribosomal RNA (361 nucleotides) under uncultured bacterium. RNAcentral describes it as "partial 16S ribosomal RNA". It matches the Rfam family "Bacterial small subunit ribosomal RNA", at positions 338 to 696 of the family's 1533-position model. The record is from RNAcentral.
CCUACGGGUGGCAGCAGUGAGGAAUAUUGGUCAAUGGGCGCGAGCCUGAACCAGCCAAGUAGCGUGAAGGAUGACUGCCCUACGGGUUGUAAACUUCUUUUAUAAAGGAAUAAAGUGAGGCACGUGUGCCUUUUUGUAUUUACUUUAUGAAUAAGGAUCGGCUAACUACGUGCCAGCAGCCGCGGUAAUACGGAGGGUCCGAGCGUUAUCCGGAUUGAUUGGGUUUAAAGGGAACGUAGAUGGGUUGUUAAGUCAGUUGUGAAAGUUUGCGGCUCAACCGUAAAAUGGCAAUUGAUACUGGAAGCCUUGAGUACAGUUGAGGGAGGUGGAAUUCGUGGUGUAGCGGUGAAAUGCUUAGAUA